GGUCCCGUAGCUCAGUUGGUUAGAGUGCUGGUCUGAUAUGCCAUAGGCCUUGGGUUCAAAUCCCAACGGGACCA
Molecule: non-coding RNA, 74 nt
Organism: Brachypodium distachyon (stiff brome)
Lineage: Eukaryota; Viridiplantae; Streptophyta; Magnoliopsida; Poales; Poaceae
Source: Rfam